UACGGAGGAUGCAAGCGUUAUCCGGAAUGAUUGGGCGUAAAGCGUCCGCAGGUGGCUGUGUAAGUCUGCUGUUAAAGAGUCUAGCUCAACUAGAUACAAGCAGUGGAAACUACACGGCUAGAGUACGUUCGGGGCAGAGGGAAUUCCUGGUGUAGCGGUGGAAUGCGUAGAGAUCGGGAGGAACACCAGUGGCGAAAGCGGCUCUCUGGUCCAAAACUGACGCUGAGGGGCGAAAGCGUGGGGAGCGAACGGG
RNAcentral lists this ribosomal RNA (253 nucleotides) under uncultured bacterium. RNAcentral describes it as "partial 16S ribosomal RNA". It matches the Rfam family "Bacterial small subunit ribosomal RNA", at positions 524 to 776 of the family's 1533-position model. The record is from RNAcentral.